This 259-nucleotide ribosomal RNA is filed under the name uncultured prokaryote. RNAcentral describes it as "partial 16S ribosomal RNA". It matches the Rfam family "Bacterial small subunit ribosomal RNA", at positions 524 to 782 of the family's 1533-position model. The record is from RNAcentral.
UACGGAGGAUGCAAGCGUUAUCCGGAUUUAUUGGGUUUAAAGGGUGCGCAGGUGGUUUAAUAAGUCAGUGGUGAAAGUCUGCCGCUUAACGGUAGGAUUGCCAUUGAUACUGUUGGACUUGAAUAUGGAUGAGGUAGGCGGAAUGUGUAGUGUAGCGGUGAAAUGCUUAGAUAUUACACAGAACACCGAUUGCGAAGGCAGCUUACUAAUCCAUCAUUGACGCUGAGGCACGAAAGCGUGGGGAUCAAACAGGAUUAGA